CUACUAACCUGGCAGGGGAGACACCAUGAUCAGGAAGGUGGUUUUUCCAGGACGAGGCUCAUCCAUUGCACUUGGGCUGUGCUGACCCCUGCCAUUUCUCCAAAUGUGGGAAACUUGACUGCAUAAUUCGUGGUAGUGAGGGACUGCAUUUGGGCUCUCCCUUG
Small nuclear RNA from Nannospalax galili (Upper Galilee mountains blind mole rat), 164 nucleotides. Its record names the gene U1. It matches the Rfam family "U1 spliceosomal RNA". Rfam says of the family: U1 is a small nuclear RNA (snRNA) component of the spliceosome (involved in pre-mRNA splicing). Its 5' end forms complementary base pairs with the 5' splice junction, thus defining the 5' donor site of an intron. The record is from Ensembl. NCBI's taxonomy places the organism in Eukaryota, Metazoa, Chordata, Mammalia, Rodentia, Spalacidae.